This is a long non-coding RNA of Micropterus salmoides (largemouth bass), 714 nucleotides long. RefSeq lists it as uncharacterized. The transcript is spliced from 4 exons. The record is from RefSeq and is a predicted model, not a curated record. NCBI's taxonomy places the organism in Eukaryota, Metazoa, Chordata, Actinopteri, Centrarchiformes, Centrarchidae.
ACUCUCCUCAGUCAUGUUGCCUUCAAGAAACGUAGGCACUGCGAGAAGUGAUUGGCAGUAAACUAAACUAAGUUCCCUUUAAAAAGCUGUUUUGGACAAUACGUGGGACCAAUUACACUAUACGAGUAAUAAAUUGUGCCAGCUUGUGCAGUUCAGCAGCUACACUUUAAGAAUGGACUUCUCCCACUUACACAUGCGACCAUGCUGUAUUCACUCGCCAUGGCGUCCGCAGCGCCAAGGCAACCCGCUGGCGCCAGUGCACAGAGACAACCCCAACCCCAUCUGAAGAGUCUGAACUUGCUCAAGCAGGGCUUGGAAAAAGACAUCUCACCAUGUCCAGGGAAAUGAGCCACGAGGAGGUGGUCAGGGUAAAAGGAGACUGAUAAUGAUUCCUCCUGACUCUGAUGGAUACACCGGAACCCUUCUUCGCAGUGUCACAGGGGCAGGGAAGAACACCCUGUAUAUUGUGCCUUUGCAGCAUGAGUUUGACCUAACUCCACUACCUCCAGAUGCCAUUGAAUUCCGAAGUAUGCCAAAAGCACAAUGUCAAACUUGCAAAGUCAGUUUUCUUUUGCACAUUUUGGCCCUUCAUGUUCAGGAGUGCAUGGAGUCUCAGUCAGCAGGAGAGGAUAUUGAGAAAGUUCCAUGUCCCAUCUGUUUCUUGAAAUUUACACCACAGUUUGUAGAGAUCCAUGCUAGCUUGUGUGGAGAAAG